Molecule: ribosomal RNA, 457 nt
Filed under: uncultured bacterium
Lineage: Bacteria
Description: bacterial SSU rRNA
Rfam family: Bacterial small subunit ribosomal RNA
Source: RNAcentral
AACGAACGCUGGCGGCAUGCCUAACACAUGCAAGUCGAACGGGAUCCAGGCUUCGGCCUGGUGAGAGUGGCGGACGGGUGAGUAACACGUGGGAACCUGCCUUUUGGUUCGGGAUAACCGCGGGAAACUGCGGCUAAUACCGGAUGCUCCCGAGAGGGGAAAGAUUUAUCGCCAGAAGAGGGGCCCGCGUCCGAUUAGGUAGUUGGUGAGGUAAUGGCUCACCAAGCCGACGAUCGGUAGCUGGUCUGAGAGGAUGAUCAGCCACACUGGGACUGAGAUACGGCCCAGACUCCUACGGGAGGCAGCAGUGGGGAAUAUUGGACAAUGGGGGCAACCCUGAUCCAGCAAUGCCGCGUGAGUGAUGAAGGCCUUAGGGUUGUAAAGCUCUUUUGCCAGGGAAGAUGAUGACUGUACCUGGAGAAUAAGCCCCGGCUAACUUCGUGCCAGCAGCCGCGGU